CAUAGAGAAAUCAUAUAUGAAAAUGGAGGUAAAGAUUCAACACCACCUGAGUUGAGAGUAAUUUUCUUAAAGACAAGAUGCAAAAAUGAAAAACUAAAUGGGACGAGAGAAAAAGCAAAAUAUGAUGAAAUUGUGAAGACUAUUAUGAUCAAUCCAUCACUUUCAAACCUUGAGGUUGUUGAAAAACAUUUUAGACAGCAG
Long non-coding RNA from Ipomoea nil (Japanese morning glory), 201 nucleotides. RefSeq lists it as uncharacterized. Lineage: Eukaryota; Viridiplantae; Streptophyta; Magnoliopsida; Solanales; Convolvulaceae. The transcript has 3 exons. The record is from RefSeq and is a predicted model, not a curated record.